This 547-nucleotide long non-coding RNA is filed under the name Anas platyrhynchos platyrhynchos (common mallard). RNAcentral describes it as "lncRNA (ENSAPLG00000025465.1)". Lineage: Eukaryota; Metazoa; Chordata; Aves; Anseriformes; Anatidae. The record is from RNAcentral.
UGUGUUAUCUGCAUGACAAUCUGGUACCAGUUUUCAGUAAUGAUGCUGAAUCCCUCCCAUGCAUCUACACAGAGCUGUAAAGGCACAAGAGCAACUGCAAGCACCUAUAGCCUGCACCAGGUCUCCAUUGGAGCCUCAGUCCCUGCCUCAGAUGUAGAUACAUAUGCAGCAGGUCCCUUGAAGUUAGGUGGGGUGAAUCUGAUCUGCCAGUUUCUCCUGAUGUGUGAACAAUAUUUCUGAAGCUCCCAGGGAGAGGGAAGGAGAUGUGACACCUAAGGGUGUUCGCGGUUGCAGUGUGCCCAUGUGGAAAGCGGUGCCUUUCAGGUGCUACGCUGUUUAAGGUUCGUACGAAUAACUCAUCAGUCUGGGGCACUUUCCAGCUCAGUUUGAGCCAAAGCUUUUCUUUUUUCUUGCUGAAGUAAGCAAACAAACAAAAUGAUUUCAGCUUUCUUCCAUUGCACGUGGCCUCAGUGAAGGAGGGCAAUGGUUUUUCUCUGGGCUCCACUACAGAACAGGGAAAAGGAGGUGGAUGGAGGUUCACUUCUUG